Mesocricetus auratus (golden hamster) is the source of this 1102-nucleotide long non-coding RNA. RefSeq lists it as uncharacterized. The record is from RefSeq and is a predicted model, not a curated record. NCBI's taxonomy places the organism in Eukaryota, Metazoa, Chordata, Mammalia, Rodentia, Cricetidae. The transcript has 5 exons.
UCAGGCUGCUUAUGAAUGAAUUUCAUCAAUGAUGGAAACUACAAGCCUUGCUGAAAGAAGUAAGAGAAGCUAUCCCACAUUCAUGGAUGGAGAUCCUAGCCAACCUGUACUGCAGACUUGGUGUGACUUCUGGUGAAAAUCCAACAACCUCCUUUUCAGAAUGACAAUUUGAAGCUCAAAUUCACAUGGAAUUGUCGGGACCCUGAAGAUCCAAAGCGAUACUGUCCAAAGAAACAAAGCUGAAGAGAGCACACUUUCCAAUUCCAAAGCUUACUGUGAAGUCACAAUUUGGGGGACAGCGAACACUAGUCCAAGAACAAACACACAAGAUAAAGGACGAGAAUUGACAUCCAGACCUAAGCCAGGAGCCCUCAGCUUCAACAGAGAAGGAGCAACCUCUCAACGAAUGGUGCUGAGACAGGUGUAUUUUUGUCAUAGACAUGCCCACAGCUCAGACGCACUGACCGAAGCACUGGGCAGGAAAUAAAGUUCAUCAUCCUGCAGAAAGUAACUGAAGAAAGGACAAAAGCCCAUGACUCUACUCCACACUCAUCUCCACACUCCUUCAGCCUUCUCUAUGUCCUUCUCUGCUCUCACCAAGUUUUGCAAAAGUUUACAGAGUUAAAGCAUUUGUAUGGGAGACCCACCAGUUGGACAGUUGUGCUGUAUGAAGCCCUGGUCUAUCUCUGCCUGCCUUGAAGACAUGAACAUUUUCUUACUGUGCACAAGACUUCUGCAAAUGGAAGCUAUCACCAUCAAUAGCUCCUUUAUUAGGAGAAGAAAGGCUCAUGAAGUCCUCCAUUCUCCAUGCUUGAAUGUCGACUGGCUUGAUCUUGUACAAGUCUUGUGUGGGCAAACAGCCGCUGUUAAUCAAUGAGAACAGAAGUCCAGUCCCGUGGAAAAGGCAUUAUUUCACUCCCAUCCUCCCCAAACCCUGAUUCUUAAGAGUCAUUCCUCCCUCUUUUCCAACAUGGUCCCUGAUCCUUGAGUUUCCCAUUUGUGCCUGAGCAUUCUACUGACACUUACUCUCUGCACUUUGACCAGUUUUGAGUUUCUGCAUUAACCACCAUCCAUCCAGAAAUAAAGAUGUAUUUCUGAUAAA